RNAcentral lists this ribosomal RNA (975 nucleotides) under Salinicola salarius. Its description in RNAcentral is "bacterial SSU rRNA". It matches the Rfam family "Bacterial small subunit ribosomal RNA", at positions 90 to 1061 of the family's 1533-position model. The record is from RNAcentral. Lineage: Bacteria; Pseudomonadati; Pseudomonadota; Gammaproteobacteria; Oceanospirillales; Halomonadaceae.
GGCGAGCGGCGGACGGGUGAGUAAUGCAUAGGAAUCUGCCCGGUAGUGGGGGAUAACGUGGGGAAACCCACGCUAAUACCGCAUACGUCCUACGGGAGAAAGCGGAGGAUCUUCGGACUUCGCGCUAUCGGAUGAGCCUAUGUCGGAUUAGCUGGUUGGUGAGGUAACGGCUCACCAAGGCGACGAUCCGUAGCUGGUCUGAGAGGAUGAUCAGCCACACUGGGACUGAGACACGGCCCAGACUCCUACGGGAGGCAGCAGUGGGGAAUAUUGGACAAUGGGCGAAAGCCUGAUCCAGCCAUGCCGCGUGUGUGAAGAAGGCUUUCGGGUUGUAAAGCACUUUCAGCGAGGAAGAAAGCCUUUGGGUUAAUACCCCAAAGGGAGGACAUCACUCGCAGAAGAAGCACCGGCUAACUCCGUGCCAGCAGCCGCGGUAAUACGGAGGGUGCGAGCGUUAAUCGGAAUUACUGGGCGUAAAGCGCGCGUAGGUGGCUUGGCACGCCGGUUGUGAAAGCCCCGGGCUCAACCUGGGAACGGCAUCCGGAACGGCCAGGCUAGAGUGCAGGAGAGGAAGGUAGAAUUCCCGGUGUAGCGGUGAAAUGCGUAGAGAUCGGGAGGAAUACCAGUGGCGAAGGCGGCCUUCUGGCCUGACACUGACACUGAGGUGCGAAAGCGUGGGUAGCAAACAGGAUUAGAUACCCUGGUAGUCCACGCCGUAAACGAUGUCGACUAGCCGUUGGGACCUUUAAGGACUUAGUGGCGCAGUUAACGCGAUAAGUCGACCGCCUGGGGAGUACGGCCGCAAGGUUAAAACUCAAAUGAAUUGACGGGGGCCCGCACAAGCGGUGGAGCAUGUGGUUUAAUUCGAUGCAACGCGAAGAACCUUACCUACCCUUGACAUCCAGAGAACUUGGCAGAGAUGCCUUGGUGCCUUCGGGAACUCUGAGACAGGUGCUGCAUGGCUGUCGUCAGCUC